Parasteatoda tepidariorum (common house spider) is the source of this 489-nucleotide long non-coding RNA. NCBI's taxonomy places the organism in Eukaryota, Metazoa, Arthropoda, Arachnida, Araneae, Theridiidae. The record is from RefSeq and is a predicted model, not a curated record.
AAAAUGCAGCAAGAAGCUCCAAGAAUGCGGGUUAGCCAUCAUCAUCAAACCACCUCAUACGAAAACAAAAGUAAUGGAUGUCAACAAGCAUGGUUUCUUCAUGAAAAAUCGUUGAAACCUUUCAGUUAAUGCAUGCUUAUGGGGGUUGCAGAACCAUAAAAGUUGAGAAAUACUGGUUUAGAGAAUGAUUAAGACUGGAUAGAACUCUGGAGAUCUACCACUGGAAUCUAUAUGUCUCUUAAAUAUUGGAAUUCUGCACAAACGAUAAUUUACAACCUCGGAAAUAUAAUAGUUACCCUUGAUAAUUAGGUUUGUGAGUGAACUGGUUGUUGCAUGUCUCUUGUAGCUCAAUGAAUUCUGUUUGCUUUGCUGAAAGAGUUUAAUUCUUAUGCUGAGUUUUAUUGCUGGAGAUGGCACAAAUGUUUUACUAAUUUCUGCUUUCGCAUAAAAGAAUGUACAUGCCUACUAAUAAAUUGUUGUUUGCAUGUU